UACAGAGGUCUCAAGCGUUGUUCGGAUUCAUUGGGCGUAAAGGGUGCGUAGGCGGCGCGGUAAGUCGGGUGUGAAAUCUCGGAGCUUAACUCCGAAACUGCAUUCGAUACUGCCGUGCUUGAGGACUGGAGAGGAGACUGGAAUUUACGGUGUAGCGGUGAAAUGCGUAGAUAUCGGAAGGAACACCUGUGGCGAAAGCGGCUCACUGGACCAUAACUGACGCUGAGGCACGAAAGCUAGGGGAGCAAACAGG
Molecule: ribosomal RNA, 253 nt
Filed under: uncultured bacterium
Lineage: Bacteria
Description: partial 16S ribosomal RNA
Rfam family: Bacterial small subunit ribosomal RNA
Source: RNAcentral